CUCCCUGAAUCUUCCACCUGCCUGCAGUCUGAUUGCAGCAAUGAGAAUCAGCUGCCGUAAUUGGCUCACACCAGUCACCUGUUUGCAAUUCCACCUCCCAGCAUAUAAGCCAGCUCUGUCAUUCCCUCCCUGCUCCACCAUGGAGUCGCACAUCCUGCGUCGACUCGUGACCACCGGAGCUUCUUGGACACGACUCUGCCCUUGUACCCCUGCCGGUUCCUGUAUGGGUUUCCUACCUACCCCUUCAGCUGAGUUUCUUCCCGUGACCAUCUGCUACAAAGCAUUACCGGGUAACAAAUACACCUGAUGAAGAUCAGAAAUAUUCAAGCAGAAACCUUCAGCUUCCACGAAGGUGGAAAUCAUUCUGCCAUGAAGACCUAACAACCUUCAAAGACAAUCUGAAAAUGGGUGACACGGACCUUCCUGGAGGAUGUUGCACAAGGAGUUUUGUCAAUGUUGCCACAUUCUGGUGUCGACUCCAUUCCACUUGACUCCAUUCCACUCUACUCCAUUUGACUGCAUUGAUUGCCUUUGGUAUUUAUAGAUUAUUGUGAGAAAUUGCAAGAAUUGAUUCUUUUUUUUAUGUGUUGUACAAGUUUGUUGUCAAUAAAAACAAAAACCUUUAUUGAAAAAAUUGUUUGGAUUGUAAACUAUUGUCACAGGAAGAACCUCAGUCACUGUAACUUGCUGCUCUGUUAUUGUUGCAGGAAGAACGUCAGGCGCUGCAACUUGGUUCUCUGUUGUUGUUGCAGGAAGAAUGUCAGUCGCUGCAAGUUGUUGCUCUGUUAUUGUUGCAGGAAGAACGUCAGGCGCUGCUACUUGGUUCUCUGUUGUUGUUGCAGGAAGAAUGUCAGUCGCUGCAAGUUGUUGCUCUG
Amphiprion ocellaris (clown anemonefish) is the source of this 875-nucleotide long non-coding RNA. RefSeq lists it as uncharacterized. NCBI's taxonomy places the organism in Eukaryota, Metazoa, Chordata, Actinopteri, Pomacentridae. The transcript has 3 exons. The record is from RefSeq and is a predicted model, not a curated record.